Molecule: long non-coding RNA, 4374 nt
Filed under: Olea europaea (common olive)
Lineage: Eukaryota; Viridiplantae; Streptophyta; Magnoliopsida; Lamiales; Oleaceae
Description: long non-coding RNA (OEUR_LNC003916)
Source: RNAcentral
CGCAAGAGAAACCAAAGAUUUGAAUUCCUCCAAGCCUGAAGAGUGUUCUUUGAGAAUCAAUGAGGGCUUGCCAAAAUUUAAACCUGGGGGAGCCUUGGGAAACAAUGAGCUGAAACCGGGAAAUACAAUUGCAAGUAGCACAGACCCCUUACCUUUGGAAGUACCUGGCCUCAAAGCUGUAGAUGCAGCAAUUGGCUCUCUGAAUUUUGAUGUUGGAUACCCCAACAAUGAAUCUCUGCACGAAUCAUCACACCUGGAUCCUAAACCAAGGGUUGUGGCUGCUACUGUUGAUAAGAAGAAAAAGUUGAAGAAGAUUAUUCAAUGUUACGAAGAGGCUCCUUUGGCAUCAUCUAGUCCGCCACUUGUUGCAAAUGAUGUUCCUAUUCAAAAGGGGGUUGAUAAGCCUAGUGAGCCUCAGGUUGGACCAAAGCCUUCUAAUGUGGGUUCUUCCACUGGUAAUGCUGAUCCUACGAAAUGGGGCCAUCCAGUUGGUGGGAUAAAUUAUUUAGUAGAGAGUGGUUCUGAGAACUCUCCAGUCUCACAGUUUGGUCGUGGUUCUCUUAACAAGUCUCCACUUUUUGGAAUGCCUCUACGAAAUGAUUCAGCUGCCCCCCCAUAUUCCAGCAUCCCACCAUUAAUGAGCAUUAUUCAGAAUGAUGCCUCUGGGAGUAUUGUACAUUUGGGUGUUUCUUGCGAUGGUUGUGGGUCCCAUCCCAUAACUGGACCUAGGUUCAAGUCAAAAGUGUAAGAACUAAGACAGUGACCUUACUAACUUUCUGAUGAAUAUCUACAGAAUCUUUAUAUGUUAAACUGAUCAGUCUUUUAUUGCAGAAAAUAUAACUAUGAUCUGUGCCAAAUCUGUUUUCUUAAAAUGGGAAAUGUUUCUGAUUAUAUUAGAAUUGCUCAUGAGGGGGAUCAUCAGUACCCCACGUCUAUCAAGGAAUUGUAUGGCCAUGUAUGUAAAAUUCAUUGUCCUGUUUGUUUCUUUAUUAAGCAUUUAUCAUAUCUUUUAUUUGUUAAAUUUUAUUGCUCCUGUCUACUCUUAACACAGCAUGCUAAGGACCGGGUGAUCUUCAGUGGUUGCAAUGAUAGAAUGGGUAUAGCAAAGCUAGACAGUCGCUUCAUUCAGGAUGUGAAUAUUUUCGAUGAAACUGUGAUGGCCCCUUUGACUCCAUUUACCAAGAUUUGGCGGAUGGGGAACAUUGGUGCAUCGGCGUGGCCCCAAAAAACACAACUUGUUUGGACUGGGGGAGACAGAUUAAGUAAUGCAUUUCCGGUUGAAGUAGAGGUUGGUUAUCACCAUUUUUUUUUUUUGGAUGCAAGGGCUUAAUGUGUACCCCCCACCCCCCGGGUGUUUCUAGUGAAAAUUCUGCAAUUGAUUUUGGAUAUCUCUUGGGCUUUUGAUUUGUCUCUAAAACCCUUAAGUUAUUCUGUGGCAUACAGUAGAAAAUUGCUAGAUGCUGAGACUUCUCUGUUUUAUUCUUUCCUUUGUUAGUUACAAUUUUAGAAUUUGAAUUUUGCAACUAUGUAUUCAUUUUGUGUCAUGAAAUCUCUCACAGCUUUUCUUUUCCUUUUUAUGAUACAUGCUUUCUAAAUUAUUGCUUCUAAUAUUUGCCUUAGAUUAACUUUCUGGAUUUUUUUUAUGAUUUUUAUUCAUUUGCCCAAUCUCAAAGAGCAUCUUCAAUGAACCUAACCUCCCUUAUUAGGCCUUUUCAAUUAUUUUACUUUUAACUCCCCAUGUUUGUUCUAACUAUCAUGAUCCUAAGUUCUAAUUCUUUCUUGAUGAUCUUAGACAAAUAUACUUAGAAGAAUGUCUUGUAUGGGUAUGUUUAUAAAACACACAGAGAGAGGUUUCAUUUUGUUAUUGCUCAUUUUGAAUAUGUGUCUCUGCUAGCAACUUUGACCGAGGUCAAAAUUAUGUGCUCAAGUGAUAUGCAUUUAAAUCUGGAUGAGAAAUAAUUAUAGCAAUAGGCCUGCUAGUAUGAAGCUUGUAAAUACAUGGGUCUGCAAGCUAUAUCUAGUAUAGAUGUUUGUAUAGGGCCGAUCUACUUUUUAGCAUUUGUUAGUUAUUUUUCUACAUCUGUUAUUCAUUAUACUAUCUUUCCCCACUCAGUCCCUAUGUCAUCUGAGUUUUUUUUCUCCCUAAUGUUGUUGUGGCAACAUUUCUACAGGCAAAGUACGGGGACAUGCUCAGGCGGUUCAAUGCCCAAAUUGUUGACAAGGAACUGUAUCUUAAUUUUGAUGGACUGAGAGAGAAGAUCUGUUCAUUAUUCAAUUUUGUUCCUGAUACUGAGUUCACACUUACCUAUAUUGAUGAAGAUGGUGAUGUGGUGACGAUUGUUAAUGAUGAUGAUCUGCAUGAUGUGGUAAGGCAGGCCCUGAACCCCUUAAGGAUUACUGUGAAGGUGAACACUGAGCAGAAUGGCAGAGAAUAUGCUCGUUCAAGUGGGAGUUCAACUCCCUUGAGAUUGCCUAGAGUUCAGCAACCCUUCCGAAAGCUGAACGCAAACGUCUCUGAAAUUUUGAAAUCUGUGCCAGAGCCUCUAUGUGAAACUCUCUUGAAGCUUUCAACUGAGUUGUCAUCUAAAACCUCCUCCUCUGCACCAGGUAUUGCCGAGCUUGCUGUAUACUUCUCAAAGAUAGGUUUGUCCUACCUAGAUCAGCUUUCAGAGUCCAAAUCUGAAGUGCAGUCUUGUACACCAAGCGAGGUUCCUGAAAGCUCCUCAGCCGCAAGAGAAACCAAAGAUUUGAAUUCCUCCAAGCCUGAAGAGUGUUCUUUGAGAAUCAAUGAGGGCUUGCCAAAAUUUAAACCUGGGGGAGCCUUGGGAAACAAUGAGCUGAAACCGGGAAAUACAAUUGCAAGUAGCACAGACCCCUUACCUUUGGAAGUACCUGGCCUCAAAGCUGUAGAUGCAGCAAUUGGCUCUCUGAAUUUUGAUGUUGGAUACCCCAACAAUGAAUCUCUGCACGAAUCAUCACACCUGGAUCCUAAACCAAGGGUUGUGGCUGCUACUGUUGAUAAGAAGAAAAAGUUGAAGAAGAUUAUUCAAUGUUACGAAGAGGCUCCUUUGGCAUCAUCUAGUCCGCCACUUGUUGCAAAUGAUGUUCCUAUUCAAAAGGGGGUUGAUAAGCCUAGUGAGCCUCAGGUUGGACCAAAGCCUUCUAAUGUGGGUUCUUCCACUGGUAAUGCUGAUCCUACGAAAUGGGGCCAUCCAGUUGGUGGGAUAAAUUAUUUAGUAGAGAGUGGUUCUGAGAACUCUCCAGUCUCACAGUUUGGUCGUGGUUCUCUUAACAAGUCUCCACUUUUUGGAAUGCCUCUACGAAAUGAUUCAGCUGCCCCCCCAUAUUCCAGCAUCCCACCAUUAAUGAGCAUUAUUCAGAAUGAUGCCUCUGGGAGUAUUGUACAUUUGGGUGUUUCUUGCGAUGGUUGUGGGUCCCAUCCCAUAACUGGACCUAGGUUCAAGUCAAAAGUGUAAGAACUAAGACAGUGACCUUACUAACUUUCUGAUGAAUAUCUACAGAAUCUUUAUAUGUUAAACUGAUCAGUCUUUUAUUGCAGAAAAUAUAACUAUGAUCUGUGCCAAAUCUGUUUUCUUAAAAUGGGAAAUGUUUCUGAUUAUAUUAGAAUUGCUCAUGAGGGGGAUCAUCAGUACCCCACGUCUAUCAAGGAAUUGUAUGGCCAUGUAUGUAAAAUUCAUUGUCCUGUUUGUUUCUUUAUUAAGCAUUUAUCAUAUCUUUUAUUUGUUAAAUUUUAUUGCUCCUGUCUACUCUUAACACAGCAUGCUAAGGACCGGGUGAUCUUCAGUGGUUGCAAUGAUAGAAUGGGUAUAGCAAAGCUAGACAGUCGCUUCAUUCAGGAUGUGAAUAUUUUCGAUGAAACUGUGAUGGCCCCUUUGACUCCAUUUACCAAGAUUUGGCGGAUGGGGAACAUUGGUGCAUCGGCGUGGCCCCAAAAAACACAACUUGUUUGGACUGGGGGAGACAGAUUAAGUAAUGCAUUUCCGGUUGAAGUAGAGGUUGGUUAUCACCAUUUUUUUUUUUGUGCAUGGUUUCUAAUACCAGUUUGUGUAUAAUCAUCUCUUUUAUAUGGUCAGAUUCUUGUAUAAUUUUACACGUGUAUAGCAUUUGGUUUUUUUUGGCGUUUCUCAUAUUUUCUUCUACGUCUUUUUCUUCUAAAUGGUAGCAACUUGUUUGGUUAUGCUUCAUUUUCCGUUUCUACUUUUUGAUACUACUAAUUCUUAUUUCUUUUUGUCUGCAGUGAAGGAUGACACCUUGUCUUUGCAUGUAUCUUCUAUUAGUAUUAGUAGAUUUUUAUAAUAAUUAUCAUCAAAAGAAAAGAUUAAUCCUCGUGAUUUUUUUUCCAUCGCUAGAUUC